CUUGAAAAAUAUUUGAAAAUUUUUUAUAUUAAAAAUGUCGGGCAACCGACUGUGAUACCAGAGGCACUGCGCAAUAGAAAUUUCGGACCCGGGGGCAGUACCCGGCACCUCCACCAAAAUUUUUCAAGGGGGUGAAACAGGAUUGACGGGAUUUAGUAAAGGCAGAUGUUGUAUUCGGUGAGAUACCACCGUUAUCGGUUCAAAAACAAAUAAAUGCUAACGAUAAUGAAUUAGCACCUGUUGCUUUGGCUGCUUAAUUGCAGUUGCAACGAACAUAAAUCCUCAGCAUCUUGGUUGACGCUGAGUGGGGAGUGAGCCACCCAGCAACAGAACGGCU
RNAcentral lists this transfer-messenger RNA (337 nucleotides) under human gut metagenome. RNAcentral describes it as "Alphaproteobacteria transfer-messenger RNA". It matches the Rfam family "Alphaproteobacteria transfer-messenger RNA". Rfam says of the family: Bacterial tmRNA, also known as 10Sa RNA or SsrA, is named for its dual tRNA and mRNA-like properties. Its role is to liberate the mRNA from a stalled ribosome. The record is from RNAcentral.